GCGGGAGAUAAGGGGCCAGAGCUCCGACCCCAGGACUCUGGCCCCCUGGUGCACCUGCACAGCCCUUCGGACGCCGCGUGGGCAGGUCUUCCCAUAAACAUCUGGUGAUCCCUGGCUGCCUUAAGAUUUCUUCCAAGAUUCCCCAAGAGCUGGUGGGCAGACUCUAUGUGCACACAUGCGGCUGCUCCCCCAGGGUUCUCAAAGAUUUACUGAGAUAUAAUUCACAUACAAUAAAAUUCAUCCAUUCAAACCCACGCAACUACAGUCAUCUGAUUCUGGACAAAGGAGCCAAAAAUAUAUGUUGAAGAAAAGUCAGCGUCUUUAACAAACGAUGGUGGGAAAACUGGAUACCUACUUGUAGAGACUGAAACUGGAUUGCUAGCUCUCACCCUGUACAAAAUUCAAUUCAAAAUGGAUCAAAG
This 422-nucleotide long non-coding RNA is filed under the name Heterocephalus glaber (naked mole-rat). Its description in RNAcentral is "lncRNA (ENSHGLG00000034311.1)". Lineage: Eukaryota; Metazoa; Chordata; Mammalia; Rodentia; Bathyergidae. The record is from RNAcentral.